CCAGCAGCCGCGGUAAUACGUAGGAAGCAAGCGUUAUCCGGAUUUAUUGGGCGUAAAGAGGGUGUAGGCGGUUUUGUAAGUCGGAUGUCAAAUCUCCCGGCUCAACUGGGAGAGAUCAUUCGAUACUGCGAGACUAGAGGACAGCAGAGGGAAACGGAAUUCCCGGUGUAGUGGUGAAAUGCGUAGAUAUCGGGAGGAACACCAGUGGCGAAAGCGGUUUCCUGGGCUGUAACUGACGCUGAGACCCGAAAGCGUGGGGAGCGAACAGGAUUAGAUACCCUGGUAGUCCACGCUAUAAACGAUGGAUACUAGGUAUGGGGAGUAUCGACCCUCUCCGUGCCGCAGCUAACGCUUUAAGUAUCCCGCCUGGGGACUACGGCCGCAAGGCUAAAACUCAAAGGAAUUGACGGGGGCCCGCACAAGU
This 424-nucleotide ribosomal RNA is filed under the name uncultured bacterium. Its description in RNAcentral is "bacterial SSU rRNA". It matches the Rfam family "Bacterial small subunit ribosomal RNA", at positions 508 to 930 of the family's 1533-position model. The record is from RNAcentral.